AGUGGGGAAUAUUGGACAAUGGGGGCAACCCUGAUCCAGCCAUGCCGCGUGUGUGAAGAAGGCCUUCGGGUUGUAAAGCACUUUCAGCUGUGAGGAAAGGCAAGUGGUUAAUACCCGCUUGCUGUGACGUUAACAGCAGAAGAAGGACCGGCUAACUCCGUGCCAGCAGCCGCGGUAAUACGGAGGGUCCGAGCGUUAAUCGGAAUUACUGGGCGUAAAGCGCGCGUAGGUGGUUCAGUCAGUCAGAUGUGAAAGCCCCGGGCUCAACCUGGGAACUGCACCUGAUACUGCUGAGCUAGAGUACGGUAGAGGGUAGUGGAAUUUCCGGUGUAGCGGUGAAAUGCGUAGAGAUCGGAAGGAACACCAGUGGCGAAGGCGACUACCUGGACCGAUACUGACACUGAGGUGCGAAAGCGUGGGUAGCAAACAGGAUUAGAUACCCUGGUAGUCCACGCCGUAAACGAUGUCAACUAGCCGUUGGGGGACUUGAUCCUUUAGUGGCGAAGCUAACGCGAUAAGUUGACCGCCUGGGGAGUACGGCCGCAAGGUUA
RNAcentral lists this ribosomal RNA (551 nucleotides) under uncultured Marinobacterium sp. Its description in RNAcentral is "bacterial SSU rRNA". It matches the Rfam family "Bacterial small subunit ribosomal RNA", at positions 353 to 896 of the family's 1533-position model. The record is from RNAcentral. Lineage: Bacteria; Pseudomonadati; Pseudomonadota; Gammaproteobacteria; Oceanospirillales; Oceanospirillaceae.